UAUAGGGACUUGUUCAGUUCCAUGUGGAAUCGGAAGUACAGCUACGUUUCCUGACAUCUCCCUCUAAGCCAUGGAUGGGCCUCUUGUAAUUCUGCACACUGAGCUUUGCUGUGGCUAAAAACUUCUGACUACAUCGCAACAAGAUCUAAUCUUUCCUCCUCCACACAUUUCUGAACAGACAGUCAGCAGAUUAAGGCAAACUCUACCAGCAAUGAGUGUCUUCAUGUUUAAAGUUGCAAGGUGACAAGAAGGAUACUGAAGCUGUCAUCAUUGCCAAGAGGAGUCCAAAUGUAUCAGUAUGAAACUACUUCUCCAACCAAAGAAGUUCAGCUAUUUUAACUACCAUUUAAAUAACGAAAAUAUACACAACCAGGGCCAGCCGAGUGGCGCAUUGGUUAAGAGCUGGCUUGAGACGCCAGCUCUGAACAGCAGGACCCUGGU
Long non-coding RNA from Hipposideros armiger (great roundleaf bat), 441 nucleotides. RefSeq lists it as uncharacterized. The record is from RefSeq and is a predicted model, not a curated record. Lineage: Eukaryota; Metazoa; Chordata; Mammalia; Chiroptera; Hipposideridae. The transcript has 3 exons.